AAACCCCCUCGCCGAAAGACUAAGGUUUCCUGAUCAACGCUAAUCGGAUCAGGGUUAGUCGGGUCCUAAGGCUCAGCCGAACGGUGAGGCCGAUGGCAGAACAGGUUAAUAUUCCUGUACUACCUUAAAGAGUGACGUGGAGACGGAGGAGUGACAGCGCCGCGGACUGACGGAAUAGUCCGUUGAAGGGUGUAGAUGUUGAUUAUCCCAGGCAAAUCCAGGAUAAGAGUCGAACCUGAUAGUAUGGAGCGUUCUUCGGAACAAUCCAAUAGUGCGUGUAAGCAUACUCCCAAGAAAAUCCGCUAAACUUAAUCUUUAAGGUACCCGUACCGCAAACGGACACACGUAGUCGGGUUGAAUAUACUAAGGCGCUUGAGUGAUUCACGGUUAAGGAACUAGGCAAAUUGACCCUGUAACUUCGGGAUAAAGGGUCCCAACGAGAGUUGGGCGCAGAGAAUAGGUCCAGGCAACUGUUUAACAAAAACACAGGGCUGUGCCAAAUUGAAAGAUUACGUAUACAGCCUGACACCUGCCCGGUGCUGGAAGGUUAAGAGGAGAUGUCAUCGCAAGAGAAGCAUUGAAUUGAAGCCCCAGUAAACGGCGGCCGUAACUAUAACGGUCCUAAGGUAGCGAAAUUCCUUGUCGGGUAAGUUCCGACCUGCACGAAUGGUGUAAUGAUCUGGACGCUGUCUCAACCGUGAGCUCAGUGAAAUUGUAGUAUCGGUGAAGAUGCCGAUUACCCGCGAUGGGACGAAAAGACCCCGUGAACCUUUACUAUAGCUUAACAUUGAAUUUGGGUAAUUGAUGUGUAGGAUAGGCCGGAGACUUCGAAGCAGGUACGCCAGUAUUUGUGGAGUCGCUGUUGAAAUACGGCCCUUUGAUUAUUUGAGUUCUAACUCGUUGAUGCGAGGACACUGUUUGGUGGGUAGUUUGACUGGGGUGGUCGCCUCCAAAAGUGUAACGGAGGCUUCUAAAGGUGCCCUCAGGACGAUUGGUAACCGUCCGUAGAGUGUAAUGGCAUAAGGGCGCUUGACUGGGAGACAGACAAGUCGAUCAGGUAGGAAACUAGAGCAUAGUGAUCCGGUGUUUCCGUAUGGA
This 1098-nucleotide ribosomal RNA is filed under the name human gut metagenome. RNAcentral's name for it is "bacterial LSU rRNA". It matches the Rfam family "Bacterial large subunit ribosomal RNA", at positions 1326 to 2437 of the family's 2925-position model. The record is from RNAcentral.